RNAcentral lists this ribosomal RNA (468 nucleotides) under uncultured bacterium. Its description in RNAcentral is "partial 16S ribosomal RNA". It matches the Rfam family "Bacterial small subunit ribosomal RNA", at positions 28 to 507 of the family's 1533-position model. The record is from RNAcentral.
GACGGACGCUGGCGGCGUGCUUAACACAUGCCAGUCGAACGGAAAGGCCCUGCUUUUGUGGGGUGCUCGAGUGGCGAACGGGUGAGUAACACGUGAGUAACCUGCCCUUGACUUUGGGAUAACUUCAGGAAACUGGGGCUAAUACCGGAUAGGAGCUCCUGCUGCAUGGUGGGGGUUGGAAAGUUUCGGCGGUUGGGGAUGGACUCGCGGCUUAUCAGCUUGUUGGUGGGGUAGUGGCUUACCAAGGCUUUGACGGGUAGCCGGCCUGAGAGGGUGACCGGCCACAUUGGGACUGAGACACGGCCCAGACUCCUACGGGAGGCAGCAGUGGGGAAUAUUGCACAAUGGGCGGAAGCCUGAUGCAGCAACGCCGCGUGCGGGAUGACGGCCUUCGGGUUGUAAACCGCUUUCGCCUGUGACGAAGCGUGAGUGACGGUAAUGGGUAAAGAAGCACCGGCUAACUACGUG